This 1247-nucleotide ribosomal RNA is filed under the name Hyalopeplus sp. RNAcentral describes it as "16S ribosomal RNA". The stretch from base 813 to 1167 matches the Rfam family "Archaeal large subunit ribosomal RNA", at positions 2155 to 2712 of the family's 2987-position model. Lineage: Eukaryota; Metazoa; Arthropoda; Insecta; Hemiptera; Miridae. The record is from RNAcentral.
AUUUAGUAUAUUAUAUAUAUUUUUUAUUUUUUUAUUUUUAUAAAAAUAUUUUUAUUUUUAGUAUUUUUUAGAAAAAAAUAUAUUUUGUUAUAGUGAAUAUUACUGUGAAGGAAUUAUAUUAUUUAUUUAUAAGUAGUUUUGUUUAACAUACCUUUUGUAUCAGGGUUUAUCAAAAAUAGGAAUUUAUGUUUUUUUUCCCGAAAGUUCAAGAUAUAUGAUAAGAUUAUAGUUAAUAUUUUAGUAUUAUUAUUAAUUUUGUUAUAGAGAAUAUAUUUUAUUCAAUUGAACUAUAUCUGGUUUUUUUGGAAUUUGGUUUAAUCAAGGAUUAAUUUUUAUAUAUUUAUAUAUUUUUUUUUAAUCUCAAAUAGAUAAGGAUAAGCUUAUUUAUUUUUCUAAAAUAUAUAUAUUCAUGAUUUUAAGUAGGAAUAAAAAUAUCCAUCAUAUAUUUUUUAAUAAUUAAUUUUCUUAUUAUUUUAAUUUAUUGGAAAUUUAGUUUAUUACCAAAAUUAAUUAUUUAAUUUACAUUUAAUUGGAAUAAUGAUAUAAUUAGUAUUUUAUAUAUAUGAAAUAUAGGAACUCGGCAAAUAUUAUUUUCACCUGUUUAACAAAAACAUGGUCUUUUGUCUAUAUAAAAGAUCUGGCCUGCCCUAUGAUUUAUAAUUAAAUGGCUGCAGUAUUUUGACUGUACAAAGGUAGCAUAAUCAUUUGUCUUUUAAUUGAAGACUGGAAUGAAUGGUUGGAUGAGAAAUAUUCUUUCUUUAUUUUAUAUAAAAAAUUUAAUUUUUUAGUUAAAAAGCUAAAAUCUUGUUAUAGGACGAGAAGACCCUAUAGAACUUUACUUAAUUUUUAUAUAAAAUUUAUGUAUUUUUAAAAUUUUAUAUUUUAAUAUUGAGUUUCGUUGGGGUGACGAAAAAAAUUUUAUAACUUUUUCUAAUUUUUUCAUAUAUUUAUGUUUUUUUUAUCCUUUAUUAAGGAAAUAAGAUUAAGUUACCUUAGGGAUAACAGCGUUAUUUUUUCGGAGAGUUCAUAUCGAUGAAAGAGUUUGCGACCUCGAUGUUGGAUUAAAAUAAGUUGCAGGGGUAUAAUAUUGUAUACUAGGUCUGUUCGACCUUUAAAUUUUUACAUGAUCUGAGUUCAGACCGGCGUGAGCCAGGUCGGUUUCUAUCCUUAAUUUUUUUUAAAAUUUUAGUACGAAAGGACCAAGUUUUAGGAAUAUUUUUUUAUAUUAUAAUGAUUAUAUUAAUUAA